UUAAAUACAUCAUUCAACAAAAUUCUGUUUUCUUUCAGUAUGGUAUUACUCAUACCCUCUUGCAUGUACACUACUAUUACACAUACACUGACUACAGACAGCAAUGUACGACUUUCCAGAAUACAUUAAGAUAUAGUGAAGUGUAAUUUGCAGAUAUUAAUAAUAUCUUAGAUUCCAAGAUACAUUAGUUAUAGUUAUCAACUGAUAAUUAUGCAUGGUAGCAGUCAAGCAGAUAGACUCCACUUUUAUGUACUCUUCUGGUUUUGCUUUCAGCAUGUCAGUGAGUAUUUGGAUUUAUUUUCACAUACCAGUCUCUGGACAAGCACCUGAACCGUGUAGUACGAAGUCCAAAUUAAGUUUCCACAGCAUAAAGUAUUAUUCUAUUAUUGGCCAAUGCAGAAAUUGAGCAAAGUUUUGUGCAAAAUAUCAUAAGUAUAUUAUGGAAUUGUAAUGAAACUAAUGUAAGUAGAGAUGUAUUUUUGCUUGUACUACCAGCUUUGUAAUAACAAAUAUAAUAAAUG
Long non-coding RNA from Oxyura jamaicensis (ruddy duck), 521 nucleotides. RefSeq lists it as uncharacterized. The transcript is spliced from 2 exons. NCBI's taxonomy places the organism in Eukaryota, Metazoa, Chordata, Aves, Anseriformes, Anatidae. The record is from RefSeq and is a predicted model, not a curated record.